Molecule: ribosomal RNA, 410 nt
Filed under: uncultured bacterium
Lineage: Bacteria
Description: bacterial SSU rRNA
Rfam family: Bacterial small subunit ribosomal RNA
Source: RNAcentral
UGCAGGAUGACGGUCCUAUGGAUUGUAAACUGCUUUUGUACGGGAAGAAACACUCCUUCGUGAAGGAGCUUGACGGUACCGUAAGAAUAAGGAUCGGCUAACUCCGUGCCAGCAGCCGCGGUAAUACGGAGGAUCCAAGCGUUAUCCGGAAUCAUUGGGUUUAAAGGGUCCGUAGGCGGUCUUGUAAGUCAGUGGUGAAAGCCCAUCGCUCAACGGUGGAACGGCCAUUGAUACUGCAGGACUUGAAUUAUUGGGAAGUAACUAGAAUAUGUAGUGUAGCGGUGAAAUGCUUAGAGAUUACAUGGAAUACCAAUUGCGAAGGCAGGUUACUACCAAUUGAUUGACGCUGAUGGACGAAAGCGUGGGUAGCGAACAGGAUUAGAUACCCUGGUAGUCCACGCCGUAAGCGA